RNAcentral lists this microRNA precursor (136 nucleotides) under Helianthus annuus (common sunflower). RNAcentral describes it as "microRNA MIR1122". The record is from RNAcentral. Lineage: Eukaryota; Viridiplantae; Streptophyta; Magnoliopsida; Asterales; Asteraceae.
ACAACUCGGGGUGGUUCUCAUUCUAGCAGCCCCCUAUAUAUAUAUAUAUAUAUAUAUAUAUAUAUAUAUAUAUAUAUAUAUAUAUAUAUAUAUAUAUAUAUAGGGGGCUGCUAGAAUGAGAACCACCCCGAGUUGU